GGCGGCGUGCCUAAUACAUGCAAGUAGAACGCUGAAGGAGGAGCUUGCUUCUCCGGAUGAGUUGCGAACGGGUGAGUAACGCGUAGGUAACCUGCCUGGUAGCGGGGGAUAACUAUUGGAAACGAUAGCUAAUACCGCAUAAGAGUAGAUGUUGCAUGACAUUUGCUUAAAAGGUGCAAUUGCACCACUACCAGAUGGACCUGCGUUGUAUUAGCUAGUUGGUGGGGUAACGGCUCACCAAGGCAACGAUACAUAGCCGACCUGAGAGGGUGAUCGGCCACACUGGGACUGAGACACGGCCCAGACUCCUACGGGAGGCAGCAGUAGGGAAUCUUCGGCAAUGGACGGAAGUCUGACCGAGCAACGCCGCGUGAGUGAAGAAGGUUUUCGGAUCGUAAAGCUCUGUUGUAAGAGAAGAACGAGUGUGAGAGUGGAAAGUUCACAACUGUGACGGU
This 455-nucleotide ribosomal RNA is filed under the name Streptococcus mitis. RNAcentral describes it as "bacterial SSU rRNA". It matches the Rfam family "Bacterial small subunit ribosomal RNA", at positions 38 to 476 of the family's 1533-position model. Lineage: Bacteria; Bacillati; Bacillota; Bacilli; Lactobacillales; Streptococcaceae. The record is from RNAcentral.